AACGAACGCUGGCGGCAGGCUUAACACAUGCAAGUCGAGCGCCCCGCAAGGGGAGCGGCAGACGGGUGAGUAACGCGUGGGAAUCUACCCAUCCCUACGGAACAACUCCGGGAAACUGGAGCUAAUACCGUAUACGCCCUACGGGGGAAAGAUUUAUCGGGGAUGGAUGAGCCCGCGUUGGAUUAGCUAGUUGGUGGGGUAAUGGCCUACCAAGGCGACGAUCCAUAGCUGGUCUGAGAGGAUGAUCAGCCACAUUGGGACUGAGACACGGCCCAAACUCCUACGGGAGGCAGCAGUGGGGAAUAUUGGACAAUGGGCGAAAGCCUGAUCCAGCCAUGCCGCGUGAAGGAAGAAGGCCUACGGGUCGUGAACUUCUUUUCCCGGAGAAGAAGCAAUGACGGUAUCUGGGGAAUAAGCAUCGGCUAACUCUGUGCCAGCAGCCGCAGUAAAAC
This 452-nucleotide ribosomal RNA is filed under the name uncultured bacterium. Its description in RNAcentral is "bacterial SSU rRNA". It matches the Rfam family "Bacterial small subunit ribosomal RNA", at positions 29 to 526 of the family's 1533-position model. The record is from RNAcentral.